This 253-nucleotide ribosomal RNA is filed under the name uncultured bacterium. RNAcentral describes it as "partial 16S ribosomal RNA". It matches the Rfam family "Bacterial small subunit ribosomal RNA", at positions 524 to 776 of the family's 1533-position model. The record is from RNAcentral.
UACAGAGGUCUCGAGCGUUAGGCGGAAUCACUGGGCUUAAAGCGUGUGUAGGCGGAUCGUUAAGUGCCUUGUGAAAUCCCCAGGCUCAACCUGGGAACUGCGUCUGAUACUGGAUGGCUUGAAUUCGGGAGAGGGAUGCAGAAUUCCAGGUGUAGCGGUGAAAUGCGUAGAUAUCUGGAGGAAUACCGGUGGCGAAGGCGGCAUCCUGGACCGACAUUGACGCUGAGGAGCGAAAGCUAGGGGAGCAAACGGG